This 232-nucleotide ribosomal RNA is filed under the name uncultured bacterium. RNAcentral's name for it is "partial 16S ribosomal RNA". It matches the Rfam family "Bacterial small subunit ribosomal RNA", at positions 333 to 582 of the family's 1533-position model. The record is from RNAcentral.
GGAUGCCUACGGGGGGCAGCAGUGGGGGAUAUUGCACAAUGGGGGGAACCCUGAUGCAGCAACGCCGCGUGGGUGAAGGAGUACCCCGGUACGUAAAGUCCUAUCGGCAGGGAAGAAGAUGACGGUACCUGACUAAGAAGCCCCGGCUAACUACGUGCCAGCCGCCGCGGUAAUACGUAGGGGGAAAGCGUUAUCCGGAUUUACUGGGUGUAAAGGGAGCGCAGACGGCAGU